UACAGAGGUCUCAAGCGUUGUUCGGAUACAUUGGGCGUAAAGGGUGCGUAGGUGGCGCCGUAAGUCAGGUGUGAAAUUUCGGAGCUUAACUCCGAAACUGCAUUUGAUAUUGCGGUGCUUGAGGACUGGAGAGGAGACUGGAAUUCACGGUGUAGCAGUGAAAUGCGUAGAUAUCGUGAGGAAGACCAGUGGCGAAGGCGGGUCUCUGGACAGUUCCUGACACUGAGGCACGAAGGCCAGGGGAGCAAACGGG
This 253-nucleotide ribosomal RNA is filed under the name uncultured bacterium. RNAcentral's name for it is "partial 16S ribosomal RNA". It matches the Rfam family "Bacterial small subunit ribosomal RNA", at positions 524 to 776 of the family's 1533-position model. The record is from RNAcentral.